UCAAAGUUCCUCUGUAUCAUUGGGGCAUCCAUCUUCAGCUUACAGGUCCAUAGUAUCUGGCAGACUUUUCCAUGAAGCAGGAAAUUUGAAACACUGUUUCGCCUAUAUUGCAGAGUUUAUCAGUUUUCUUCUGUGUGCUGCAGAAUGUCUGGUAGUUUCUUCCAUGAAGCAGGAAGCCUGAAAGAACUUCUUUAGGAUGCAACCUGAUGAUAACCACCAUGCAACCAUGCACCUGCUGCUGUCACCUGCUGGGGGAUCUCUCACUGGAGCUGGCCUGCAUAGGAAGAACCCUGCUUUCCAAGUCACUGUUAGGGGUUCUCACUCAGGUCCCCUGGCUUGGACAGCCAACACUCCCUUUCUCAAGACGUUUGAUUCUUGAUUUUCUUUUCUUUGCAUGUCAAAAUAGUCUUUGAAAUCAGAAAUAGAAAAGCACUGAAGAGAAACCUUUGCCCGCCCCUUCCCUUUCCUUUCCCUCUCUCCCUCCUCCCCCCUUUCAUUCUCAUGUAGUGUGAAUUCUAAUUGGUCUUAAUAACCAUACCUGGAGUCAGAUGUCAGGGUAAAUACAGAAGGAUCAGAGAAGUAAGGAAGCCAGCCACUAGAGAGACUUUUACCUCUACCGAAUCAUCAGAUCAAAGUGGGCAAGACCCUGUCUCCACAAAUCCUCAGAACAAAUGCACUGAGCUCCUGUCUCCUCUUGCCUAACCAUAUCCUUUCCUGUCUCCACCUCCUUAGUGCUGGGAUUAAAUGUGUGUGACUCCCAAGUACUAGGACUAAAGGUACGAGCCACCACCCCUGGUUGUUUCUCUUUUAGAUUGCUCUGCUGAUCUCAUCUUUCAGUAUUGACCCCUAUAUCCGACUCUGGGUUCUUAUUAUUAAGACCAAUUAAAAAGAGCAAUACAUUCUGGUGAAACAGGUCUUAUUAUGUGGCCCAAGGUGGCUCAGAAUUCUCGGUUCUCCUGCCUCAGCUUACUGUGUGCAGGGACAGUGACCAGCACAAUCAGGCCCAGCUGACAGAGUCUAGGACUCAGCCCUGACAAGCUCAAUAGAGGCCUGAGUCGCAGUAGUUUACCCCAACCUAGUUCCAAGAAAGACCACAAACUGAGACUACCCAGGCACCACCCAGGAACAGACCAUCCAAAGGAAAUUCCUAAGGUACCAGCCAUUGUAGAUAGGAUCAUCUGUCAGCACACACCCAUUGCUUUUCACCAGGACACCCCUAGACGAAUGUCAGCCAAUCAGGGGUCCUAAACCUUAGAGAUCCCUGACCCCCAUCUUUGCUACUAUAAAAACCCAACCCCAACUGUGCUCAGGGCUCUCCGGUCACCCAUCACUCUGACCACUUCAAUACGCUGGACACAGAGGGAGUCCGAGUUUGCAAACUUGUGUAAAAAUAAAGGCUCUUUGCUUUUACAGACAGGACUCGGUCUCCUAGUUGUUUUUGAAGGGAACUCUGUGAUCCCUUCAAGAGCUUUGGCCAUUUCAAACUCAGUGCCUUGCCUUCAAGUCCCAACUCCCUCCCCGCCCCAGGGGUGGUAUGAUUACAGUACGUCAGGAUCAGACAUUUGAACUUCUUAAGACUAAAGAGGCUUAAAUUCAGGAGAGCCUUGGUGACCUCCGAGAAGAUGGUUUGCGAAGUAGACUAAGUGGGCAGGUUUGCUCCAGAGCUGAGGUAAACAACAGUGCGGAGACAAGGGUUCCCAUAGGCUCCCAGUGUGGCGGAGAGGAGGAAGGCGCAGGCAGAGCAGAGAGGGUUCCCAGCCACCGGGCUCAGAGCGCUGGAGUGAAGGGGGCGGGCAUCCGGAGAAGCAGCGUCAGGACGUAACUCAGGUCAAAUUUCUACCUUCUAAGGGUAUUUAUGUCACGAAGAAAAAGCCCUGCAUUCCCUGUUAAGACUGGAAAUUUCCACUCUACCCCACCCCCAUCGAAGGCCGCAAAUUCGCUGUGCAGCCAAGGACAACCUUGAACUUCUGACUCUCCUGCCCCUGCGUAGGAAGUUCUGGGUUCACAGGUAUUUGUCAGCACAGCUUUAAACAGUGCUGGGAACUGAACUCCUCGGUUUUGUGUGUGCCGCCCACUAAGCCACAUCCCCAGCACGUUUUUAUUUACAAUGAAAAAUCGAAGGUUGUUUAACAAGUACUUACUCAAAAAAUAUCCAUAUUUUCUACAUUUUCUUUUUGCUAUAAGAGCGGGCAUAACUCGUAUAACUCGUGAUUUUUAAAAUUUUGUUAUUUUUAGAAGGAACAACAAAUUUUGGUUUUUUUUUUUUACUUUUUUGCCAUGACUUCAUAUUUUUUUCUUUUUUUUUUCGAAAAACUAUAAAUAGACAGAGACAACCUCUGUCACUGAUGUCUCAGCGCGAGGGAGCUGAGCAGACAUUUUUCUGACCACAAGUUCUGGCAAGGGACACUGUGGGGCAGAAAUGUGUAGGCGGCUGUGGAAAGCAGGGAGGGAAGCAGAUGGUGACUUAAUUUGUAUAAAGGGCUGGUAUGGGUAGAAUUUCUUCCCUCCCCCUCCCAAAAAGAUACACUAAAAGAGUGCUCCCACCAAUACCUCCAAAGGUGGCCUUACUUAGAGAUAUUAAUGUCAGGUCUCAAACCCAGGACACACGCUGUAUGCCAGGUUCUCCCAGCAGCACUCAGACCCUACCUGUUACAGGGUAUGCCUGGCAAAUCCUGCCCCCUAUUCUAAUCGUGGUGAUUGUGUUUGAAUGAACUCUUUGGGUGGGGGGGUCUUCGCCUAUUAAGACAUUCUUUUAUAAAGGGAAAUUAAGAGAAACAACAGCAACAAUCAGCCAUUUCACAAUGUCCAGGCUGGACCACCAACUGCUGGAAUGCGAGAGGUCCGUCGACGGAAGCCUCUUGAGUUGCUGGCAUUUAGAGGCAUGUACCACCAUGAAGGGCUUUAAAACCGGGAGAGUCAGUUACUGGUGGCCACACAAAGAAGGGACUGUGCCUGGUAAUAAAUGAUUGUGGAUGAAAAUUCCUGGAAGGAAGCCGCCGCACCGGUUUGCCCAUAUGCUGGUCGGAACUACAAGGACUGUGGAGAGGUUAGGGCCUUGCAAGUCCAUAGCUAGUCUUUAGCUGCCUUCUUGUCAUUUACUGUAUACCUCUGUGUUUGACCUAAUAUCUUUGUGACUAGUAGGUGAACACUUCGAAGUGCACAAACAGAUCCCAAACAGCCAAAAGGCUAAGAAGGCAGUCAGAUAGUUUCUGAGGCCUACAGCAGAGACACCCCCACUUUGUUGAAACCGACUUACCUGAUGUUUCCACAAAUGUAUUUCAAAAGCGUCUUUACUUAUGACUUCCUUUGUCAUACUGCUAUAAAAACUUCAGUAAACCAUUACCAUGGUAGAACAUGGCAUUUGGGGAAAACCUGAUGGUGUUCCAGGGCCAUGGUCACUCACGCUUUGCUCUAGAAUAAACCAUCUCGGUGAAAGCUGGGUUUUUGCAUUGUCAAGAGGAAGGCAGGGAUCGUGUGGCAGGGUGGUGGGACCAAGGAAAGAGAAACAUCAGGUUAACCUGUGAAGAAAACCACUUGUAGAAAGACUGGAGACCCGUCCACCAGGGCUUUGGUUAUAAAACAGAGCAUACACACAAAACCCCUGGUGCUCCAAAUUCAGGAGAAGGCAGGUGCUGGGGAAAGAACCCAAAAGCCUCAUGCUAUCUGAUGCUUUUGAACCUUUGACCUGGCCAACCUUGUGGAGGGCCGCAACCACAUUCUCCAUUACAAGAUGGCGCUGGCAUCCGGCCUUACCGCCUGGUGAACAAGAUAACGCACAUGUGCUUGGUAACUUUCCACUGCUGUCCCUGCCUACUCCUGAGGCAUCAUCUGGGUUGAUGGGCAGCGGACCAAUCCAAGAGUGAC
Non-coding RNA from Myodes glareolus (Bank vole), 3864 nucleotides. NCBI's taxonomy places the organism in Eukaryota, Metazoa, Chordata, Mammalia, Rodentia, Cricetidae. The record is from RefSeq and is a predicted model, not a curated record.